RNAcentral lists this ribosomal RNA (50 nucleotides) under Russula dissimulans. RNAcentral's name for it is "partial 25S large subunit ribosomal RNA". The record is from RNAcentral. Lineage: Eukaryota; Fungi; Basidiomycota; Agaricomycetes; Russulales; Russulaceae.
UCUUGACCUCAAAUCGGGUGAGACUACCCGCUGAACUUAAGCAUAUCAUA